This 496-nucleotide ribosomal RNA is filed under the name uncultured bacterium. RNAcentral describes it as "partial 16S ribosomal RNA". It matches the Rfam family "Bacterial small subunit ribosomal RNA", at positions 28 to 506 of the family's 1533-position model. The record is from RNAcentral.
GAUGAACGCUGGCGGCGCGCCUAAUACAUGCAAGUCGAGCGAACAGACGAGGAGCUUGCUCCUCUGACGUUAGCGGCGGACGGGUGAGUAACACGUGGAUAACCUACCUAUAAGACUGGGAUAACUUCGGGAAACCGGAGCUAAUACCGGAUAAUAUAUUGAACCGCAUGGUUCAAUAGUGAAAGACGGUUUUGCUGUCACUUAUAGAUGGAUCCGCGCCGCAUUAGCUAGUUGGUAAGGUAACGGCUUACCAAGGCAACGAUGCGUAGCCGACCUGAGAGGGUGAUCGGCCACACUGGAACUGAGACACGGUCCAGACUCCUACGGGAGGCAGCAGUAGGGAAUCUUCCGCAAUGGGCGAAAGCCUGACGGAGCAACGCCGCGUGAGUGAUGAAGGUCUUCGGAUCGUAAAACUCUGUUAUUAGGGAAGAACAAAUGUGUAAGUAACUAUGCACGUCUGGACGGUACCUAAUCAGAAAGCCACGGCUAACUACGU